RNAcentral lists this transfer RNA (76 nucleotides) under Pararhodospirillum photometricum DSM 122. RNAcentral describes it as "tRNA-Lys". Lineage: Bacteria; Pseudomonadati; Pseudomonadota; Alphaproteobacteria; Rhodospirillales; Rhodospirillaceae. The record is from RNAcentral.
AGUGCCCUGACUGGUGUGACGGCCUGGAGAGACAGGCAUCUGUGGGGGUGUAGCUCAAUGGUAGAGCUGGCGGCUC